This is a long non-coding RNA of Branchiostoma floridae (Florida lancelet), 543 nucleotides long. RefSeq lists it as uncharacterized. NCBI's taxonomy places the organism in Eukaryota, Metazoa, Chordata, Leptocardii, Amphioxiformes, Branchiostomatidae. The transcript has 4 exons. The record is from RefSeq and is a predicted model, not a curated record.
CCUCCAAGAAUAGUGUUCUCUUCCAUACCAAAUCCGGAAGUGAUCGCAUGUGCUCGGGCACGUGUGUGCUUCACGUUCAAGAAAAUCCCACAUUCUGUGUGAUCGCAGGUAUUUCCCGAGCACGGAGCUAGCUAGGAUGGGGAAGAAUAGACAAAAGAGCCGCCCGGCGAGUAAGGGUGGAAAUGCAGGAAGCCAGCAGAAGAACGUUUUCUCUGUAUCCAAGCAUCAAGCCAUGAAAGCAAAGAGGAAAGCAAAAUCCAUCAAUGUGAAAAAGUUGAAUUCUCAGGUACGUCAGGAAGUGAGAAGAGUGAACAGAACAACAACAAACUUGCAAGAGGAACUAGUAAAUGUACAAAAGGACACAGAGACACAAAAGAAGAAAACACAUCUGAAGGCCAACUCAAACCCAGCUACGGUUCAACCUCCACCAGACAUGGAUGCUGCUGCACUACAAUUUGCUAUGUUAUAAUAUCAAGCCAACAAAAACUCUUGUCAUAAUUACUUAUUAUUAUAUUGUUAUUAUUACUUAUUACUCCAAACAUA